Molecule: ribosomal RNA, 577 nt
Filed under: Bacillus cereus
Lineage: Bacteria; Bacillati; Bacillota; Bacilli; Caryophanales; Bacillaceae
Description: bacterial SSU rRNA
Rfam family: Bacterial small subunit ribosomal RNA
Source: RNAcentral
GGGGGGCAGCAGUAGGGAAUCUUCCGCAAUGGACGAAAGUCUGACGGAGCAACGCCGCGUGAGUGAUGAAGGCUUUCGGGUCGUAAAACUCUGUUGUUAGGGAAGAACAAGUGCUAGUUGAAUAAGCUGGCACCUUGACGGUACCUAACCAGAAAGCCACGGCUAACUACGUGCCAGCAGCCGCGGUAAUACGUAGGUGGCAAGCGUUAUCCGGAAUUAUUGGGCGUAAAGCGCGCGCAGGUGGUUUCUUAAGUCUGAUGUGAAAGCCCACGGCUCAACCGUGGAGGGUCAUUGGAAACUGGGAGACUUGAGUGCAGAAGAGGAAAGUGGAAUUCCAUGUGUAGCGGUGAAAUGCGUAGAGAUAUGGAGGAACACCAGUGGCGAAGGCGACUUUCUGGUCUGUAACUGACACUGAGGCGCGAAAGCGUGGGGAGCAAACAGGAUUAGAUACCCUGGUAGUCCACGCCGUAAACGAUGAGUGCUAAGUGUUAGAGGGUUUCCGCCCUUUAGUGCUGAAGUUAACGCAUUAAGCACUCCGCCUGGGGAGUACGGCCGCAAGGCUGAAACUCAAAGGAUU